UUCUAGAGAGAAGUAGAAGUUGCAAAUGCCUCGUGAACUUAUUCGUUUUUAAAAAGUCUGAUGGCCAAGACUAGUGCUGAAUGGAUGCCUGAGGAACAGGAACAUCUCUGCUCCAAACGGGCUCAUCUGAUUCAGCUGAGUCUGAGCCGCCAACUCGCUCGUCUCCCUGGGGUACACCUGGGUGCUAAAGGAAGUCCUGAAGCUGAAGAGAACACAGGCGCACGCUCGCUCUUCCCGUCCCUCCCUCCAGGGAUGGACUCACAGUGACUACAGCCCGAGGCAAAGAGCAAGAUCCCAAGCCCGCAGAGCAGUUCAGUGAGCAUCUUUUUUCAAGUAAUGUCCACACCCAACGUGGAGCUCAGACUCACAACCCCAAGAUCAAGAGUCGCAUGUUCCACCAACUGAGUCAGCCAGGCAUCCUCGAUGAGCAUCUUCAUGGCCAUACUUGGAACUCUUUAUCAGCAUCUUCACCAGGAGUAGAUUUCAUCUCAAGAAACUGCUUUCUUUGCUCACCCAGAAGAAAUAAGUCCUCAUCCCAUUCAAGUUUCAUCAUGAGACGACAGCACUUCAGUCACGUCUUCAGGCUCCCUUUCUCAUUCUCCUGCUAUUUCCACCACAUCGGUAGUUUCUUCCUCCACUGACAUCUCAAACCCCUCAAGAUCAUCUAUGGUUAGAAUCUGCUUUUUCCAAACUCCUGUGAAGGUUGGUAUUUUGACUUCUUACAUUGAAUCACAGAUAUCCUUAAUGGCAUCCAGAAUGGUAAAUCCUUUCCAGAAGGUUUUCAACCAACUAUGCCCAGCUCCAUCAAGGGAGCCACUAGCUGUGGUAGCUACAGCAUUACAAAAUAUGUUUCUUAAAUCAUAAGGCUUGGAAGUCAAAAUGACUCUUUGAUCCACGGGCUGAAGAAUAAUGUUGUUUUCAUGCCGGCUAACACAACAUCCAGUCUCAUUAUAUAUCUCCACCAGAGCCCUUGGGUGACCAGGCACAUUGUCAAUGUGCAGUAGUAUUUUAAAAGCAAUCUUUUGUGUGUGGGGGGGGCUGAAAAUAUUCAGUUAAAUGUGUAAUAAACAGAUGUGCUGUCAUCCA
Molecule: long non-coding RNA, 1086 nt
Organism: Felis catus (domestic cat)
Lineage: Eukaryota; Metazoa; Chordata; Mammalia; Carnivora; Felidae
Exons: 3
Source: RefSeq, a predicted model, not a curated record